UUUCCCAGAGGUCCACCCCUCGGGCCAGGCAUAUGGCACUGACAGAGCAGGAGCUCCGCAGCUCCAGGUAUAAGCCGGCACCUGCUGCCCAGCAACUAACUACACGGCCAACGUAACCGUAUCGGUCUGCGUGGGACGUUCCUUUCCCACAGCGUGGACCGGCUGACUCCUGACUUAUAAAAGGGAAAGGCGCAUGGUGGGCGACAAAGUCCAUUUCCAGCCCCCAGAGAGCAAAUCCCUGGGCGAAACUCGACGACAUCUCGUGUUCUGCUCUGCUCUAUCAACUACUGCUUCCUGAUAGACUUAUUGCCUAAUUUGCUGUUAACCACCCAACAUCCACGACUGAGAAGAAAGGCUGGGCCACCCUUUACAGCCCCACUGCCGAGGCCUGAGUUUAUGAGCUGAAAGAUCAGAACGCUGCCUGUAUCCGGAAGCCUCCCCACCGGGGUCCGCUGGGCCCAGACCCGUGAACAGACGUUCUCAGGGCUCAGGCAUUCAGAACGGAGAAGUUCGGCCAGAGCAGGAAGGCUCAGAAAAGCCAGUUUGGGCUGGAAGUAAGCUGCCAGAAAGUCAUUCCUUUCUGGUUUACGAGAAAACCACCUUUCUCAUAAACCACCAGCUUGUAAAAUAAGGAAAUAAAGAGACCGAACCAGAAAAUUCCCUUCUCUCCCCUCCCCUCCUUCCUGGAAACAUACACAGAGAGCACAGG
Molecule: long non-coding RNA, 709 nt
Organism: Ornithorhynchus anatinus (platypus)
Lineage: Eukaryota; Metazoa; Chordata; Mammalia; Monotremata; Ornithorhynchidae
Exons: 3
Source: RefSeq, a predicted model, not a curated record